CACACACGCCCGCCCCGGCAAUGUUGUAGCCCAGGGGGCUUUUCCACCCUGGGGCCCAUAGCUAACUGGGCCAUGGCUGCUGGCCCACGGACUUCUCAGACCUUCUGGUCUCAUUCUUGCUUUCUUUUUUUUUUUUUUCCUGAGGCACAGAAAUGUUUCCUUAAAAGGCCUCCUGUCUCUCUUCUCUCCAGCACCCUGGCCCCUAGCCACCCUCUCAGGAGCCCAGAAUGUGCCAGGAGAACCAGGAGCCGUACCACCCCAUGGCCUGUGCUCAAGAGCCCCACACUCCAGUCCGCCAUCAGCAGUGGCUGACUCCCCUGACUGGAGGACUUACAAGCUCUGGGCUGUCUUCAAGGGCUCUGAUGACAGCCCUGCUGUGACCUCCUCACCUUCAGGCGAGGCACCCAGGAUUCCAGACACAGGUAGUCAGUCUCAGUAAAAUACACGUAACAUAUAAAGUUCCACCUUGGGGGCUAGAGAUGGGCUCAGCGGUAGAACUCUUGACUGGAAUAUACAAGAGGCUGGAUUCAGUACCCAGUACCACGAUGAUGAUGACGAUGACUGUGGCAGCAGCGGUGGUGGCGGUGGCUGUGGAUUUUUUAAAGUUUUUAAAAUAAAAAAGUAUCAUUUAAUCAUUUCUAAAUAUACAAAUAGGUGAAUUUGAAUAUAUCCACAAUGAUAUACUAGCCACUACCUACUUCCAGAACUUUUUCAUCAUCUAACACACCACCCACACUGAAUAAUGAGUCUCCUCUUCCCCUCCCCAUUCCAUAACAUCUUAACUUCUGCUGCCUACCCUAGAGACCUCUUGAGGUCUGAUAAUAGAUACAUAGCGGAGAUGGGGAGGUUGACCAAGACAGAUCCCACGAAUCAAGAUUUCUAUCCCACCAAGGCAGGCCACACAAACUCUGGUCUUCCAGGACCCUCUAUCCUGAAGCUGGACACAGAACAUCUGACCCUUCCCUUGUGCCUCAGUGGGACACGGGACCCUCUUCAUUACAAAGAAAGGAAUGAUGCCCAGAAAGGCCAAGAAGAAUAUUGACAAAGGCUCCCUCACUCCCCAACUGCUCACCCUGUAUACCUCAUCACCUGAAUCCUUCAUCAAAUUCCUCCUGAUACACAAUAAACCACGCCUCCUACAUCUACUGGGCAGGCCACUACAGCAAAUUGGUGGCACCCAAAGCAGGGGCACAUGAAUCUCAGUUUGACACCCACUUGGUCAGAAGCACAAAGACACCCUGGAGUUUGGAACUGAGAUCUAUAGGACAGAGGGCAGUCCUGGGGACCAAGUACCCAACCUAUGGAGCCUGUCAUGUGUCUAGUUUGAUAUUGGGCUAAACUGGGCUGGAGGUCACCUGCAAGUGUCACCACUGCAGAGCUGUUUGCUGCUGGGGAGAGGACCCACAUACAUAUCCCAGAAGCCACAGAAAGUCUUGUGCUAUCUGGUGAGACAGGACAUCUGUGUUUGGCUGACAGCAUAUUCAUGAAAGGCCAAGCGCAUGCUUGCCUUUUUUGUGUCUAGGCUGAUUCCACCUCAUGCUAUAGCUGAAUGGCUCCCCAAGUUGGCAUGUGAAAAUCCAAACCAGUCCCUUGAAAUGUGCCCAGUGACGGGUCCUUAAAGAGGUAACUAAGUAAGUCCGCUGAGGUGAGUCUUGACUCAGUUCAGCCUCUUAUACUGACAGGAAGAUAUCCAAACACAGACCAAGGAGGGAGACCCCGUUAGGACACAAGGUGAAGGAGGUGCCCACAUACCAAGGAACCAGGCCACAGAAGACAAGUGCUGUGCUGAUCCUGAUUGCAGAACCCAGCCUGGAAGCCAUGAGAGCAAAUUUCAUGACCCCCAAACCCACAUUUCUAAGAUCCACCAAGGUUCAAGGUAAAAGUUAAAAGCUGUCCCACUGUGUACGGAUCUGUUCACUACUUGAUGGAUCCACACGGGUCGUUUCCAGAGAAGUGUUAAUGGUGACUCACACCUCUGUCCAACAUAUCCAGAUACCCACACCAGCGACACCAAAUGGUACAUGGGACACAGGGACAGUGGGGUUUAUAAAGCACCUACUGUGUGUCACUGGGUUGGGCACUUCAUAGCCGCUCAUAUUUUCACUUCCAGACCAGUUGUUAAAGUAAAUAAGGCUCACAGAAGUUAAGCUACUUGGUCAAAGUCAAACAUCUGGCAACAGUAGUGGGGCAGCAAUGGCCAGGAGGGCACCUAGGUUUCUGCCCAUCAAGCUCUAGUCUAACAUGUGGUCUCUCUUUCCCCCGCUCCAUACCUAGCAAGGUGAGCAUGAGUACAUUAUCUCCCAGGGUCUCAGGUCACUUCCCAACACCUCCCUUGCUUCAGGCUGCCCCAAACACCUCCCUUUCCUGCCCAUUCUCUGCCCUGUGCCUGAAUGUCAAUCACACUGAGGAAACCAUGCUGGAGCUGCAGGACGCUGAGACUGUGGACAUCCCAAGGAGGAUAGUGAGCCCCGCACCGCACCGAGGAGGUUCACUUCAGUCUCUCCGACGUGGAGGCAGGGAUGUGUGGCUUGUUAAAAGAGCUAACAGGUCUCCCCUUUAGCUGGAUCCCAGGCUGGGUGAGGGGAAGAUGAACUGACCAAGGGACACCAAGGUGGGGAGAAAAGGGGAGGGACACUCUUUCCAUGCUUGACAUGGGCAGCUGUGAGUGAUCAAGAAAAGAGGACAGACUUGGCUGCUGGCCCUGAGGAAUCACUGAAGGUUCUUGAGUAGAGGAAGGACAAGCAGAAGCUAUGCUCCAGGCAGAGAAGUCCUGGAGUGGGGGAAGGAGGGAUGGAAGAGUGCAGAACUUAGGGCAAGCAUGGUGGUGCAAUAUCCAUACCAAGAGCAACCAGAAAAAGGGAGGAGCCUGAAGCCCAGGGCUAGGGGAACAUUGGAUACCCUCAAAAUCUAGGGGCCCACAAAACACUCUAGCCCAGAGCUUCCAGCCUAGCCUCUACACCUUCCAUUCCCAAGCAGAGACGCCAUCCACCACUCUGUCUUCCGGCACCUUUUAUACCAAGAGGCAGCCAGUAUCUUAGCUCUGGUCACCAAGUGUCACCACAUGGUGGCCCCAGAAAAGUAAAGUGUCCGCCCCUGCAACUGAGGAAACAACUAAAUGGAGCCUCAUCUGUGGGUUCAUCAUCAAUGCGCUGGGACAAUCAAGACCCCAGAGAAGUCACCCUGUGUUGUCCUGGAAGCCUAGGUGUCCCUCGGAACUUGUAGGUGUCAAGACCAUGGGGUUGAGGCCCAGAAGAAAGACAAGACUGUUCGAAGAGUGCCAGCAGGGCUCAAGGUCACUCAAGGCCUCCCAAGAUGAGCAUCAUGCCCUAGGCAGGAAGUCCUGAGGGGCAGGUAAGCACUGCCCUGGCUCUACGGCCUCUGGGUCUAUACAAACCCUGCAGGGGACAGUUCCUCUCUGUUCUCAGCCAGCCAAGGCUCUUUCCUUCCCUUAUAUAGAGUUCAACUAUGACAGAAAACGAAGUGUACCAAGUUUCUUCAUGCUCCGAGGCAAGAAGAGGCCUGUUCCCAGGGACGCCUUGGGCCGGACAGACGGCCCCUGCCCUGGAUCCCUCUGCUCCAGUGAUGACAGAGACUUGGAGGGUCCUGCUCUUCCUACAAACACAACCCAGACUAGACUCAGAACUUGAAGACAGUGCUGUGUCAGAUCACUGAUUCAGAACACUGAACCCAAGACCCCAAGACCUCAGCACUACUUCACUAUGCCCCAAGUUCCUCCUCUGACUUGGGUCCUCUUCUGUGGCACCUGUCAUUGUCUGCCUGGCCCACGGCCGGGUCCUACGCAUUGGUCGGAUGGGCUAUUAGAGCGGGGAAAUCACUCUCCUGGCAGAUCCCUCCAACCCCACAUAUGGGAGUGGCUCUCACACCAAACACAAUGCAACUCACUCAUCAAACAGCCUGCCUGCAGCCAGAUGAGAUGACCGGUAUGCCCGAGCCUCUGGAAACCUAUGGAAUGCAGCAUUCAGAGCAACCCUCAGUCAGAAGGUCCCCCAAACAGCUAAGGAGUGGGGGAAGCAGACAAGCUAUGAUCAAGCAGGCUGCAUCGCUGAAGCUGAUUGCCUUCUGUGCCUGGAAGAUGGCACGCACAGUGAUUCUCAACCUUCCUAGUGCACUGAUCCUUUGUUGUGACUCAUGUUGUGGUGACCCCAACCAUAAAAUUACUUUUAUUGCUACUUCAUAACUCUAAGUUUGCUACUGUUAUGAAACGUGAUGUAAAGAUCUGAUAAAUGACCCCAAAGUGAGCCGUGCCCUACAGGUUGGGAACUACUACCCCAGAGACUCUAUGGGUUGCACCUAGGGAGCCCAACUCCAAACCCCACAGUGCCAACACAAUGGUCAUGCUUGCUGAUCCUCGUAGUUAGGGAAGCCAGGAAAAGAACAAGGUUACCCACUAGGGUGCAACUGAACCUGGGAGCAAUAGAAUCUGAGCUCUGAGCACAUGCCUGGUGCUCAACACCCAGGGUCAGAAGAGCAAGAGGCAGACAAUGGCCAGGAAACAUGGGAUGGGGAAAGAGAACACAGAAGAGAACAUGGCCGGACUUGACACCAGCCACUGUCACCCUCCUCUGGGCCACCCAACAUGGUUCAAGCCAAAAUCUGUGCAUCCCCCUUUUCUCAUCCUAUCCCUUAUUCCCCAAGCCUGGCAGUCUCUCUCCCAAGCCACCACUGCAGUGCCCUGAGUCAAAGACAUGGUGACAUUAACCUGUCCCAGGACCUCCUCUCUUGCCCUUGGUCUCUUCUUGGAAAUCAGGAAGCCAUUUCUAAAAUGUGCCUGAGCCAUGUUACUCCUCAGUCUAAAGGCCUGGCCACCUUAAGUGCAAGGAUCCAGUCUAAAUGUCCCAACACAGCUGCCACGGUCUAUGGGGACCUGUGGGGUCACUCCUACAGGCCCACUUCUCGACCUUCCCUCCAAACCCCUAUACCAUUUCCUGCCCAUCUAUUCCAAAUUCUAUCCUCUGUUGGAGAGCUUCUCGGCCACUUCACAGACAAAGAAAAGCAUGGCACCGAGAAGCCACAUCUGCAGCCUAAGGUCACACAGCAUCAAAGGGCAAGCAUGGAAGCAUAGCUCUGCCCCAGGAGGCCUCAAGACAGACUCCAUUCCUCCCAGUAAGACCAACAGGGAGCCUUCCACAGAGGCCAUGGCUUCUGAGGCUAGGGAGAGGACAGCAAACUGGGCUGAGCAAUGUGUAGCCAGAUGUGCUCAGAUGAAGCAAAUAAAUGCCCAGGCUCUGCAGGAGCCUCAUAGCUCCAAAGCCAGUAGGAGAGCGAGAGGGCAAGAGUGGGGCGGGGCUGGCAGCCAGGAGGCCUUCCUGAAGGAGGCAGCUGCACUGAGUGAGGUGAGAAGGCUCUGAAAGGGGACAGAAGACAGUGUGAAGAGGGUACUUAAAGGGGACACAAGGGGGUACUUAAAAGAGAAGAUGGCAAAAGGCGGGCCUGUUAGCACAGGCCUGGAAUCCCAGCUAUGUGGGAGACUGCAGCCCAAGGACUGAAGUCUCAAGGCUGUCUCAGCAGCAUGCUGGUGAGGUAGCGCUGUUAUAGAGUGCUCACAUAACUUGUACAAAAGUAUAGCCCAAGAGGCUUCUGGGAAAUCUGCCACCUGAUGCAGGAGCCCGGCCUCUGUCCUGAGUGCAGGGGCUGAACCCACUUCCACGAAGUCUCUGAAAUACAGAGAACAGGAAAACCUCAAUCCCUCUGGGGCCAGGCAUUUGUUGCAGGGGUAGGGGGUACAGCCCAUGGCACACAGGUGACUUCCAGGAAGUUCCUUGACUUCCAGGAAGUUCCUAGAAGCUGGGCCAGGGACAGGCUAUGGGCUUGGUCAAUGUUUGGUAAGGGGGGAGGGGGCAGAGGAAGUGACAGG
Non-coding RNA from Rattus norvegicus (Norway rat), 5875 nucleotides. NCBI's taxonomy places the organism in Eukaryota, Metazoa, Chordata, Mammalia, Rodentia, Muridae. The record is from RefSeq and is a predicted model, not a curated record.